UGGUGAACCUGCAGAUGGAUCAUUUCGAUGAAAAAACCUUUUUUUUCUGAGGUGCGGCCCGCACCUGUCCAACUAAACUAGGGCUACCUUUUUUUCAACACGGUUGCAUCGGUCGGGUUCGAAGCAGAGGCAUGCGAGAGUGUGUCUUUACGACGACCUGACACCUUACAAAAACACUUUUGAUGAUCUAGGAUUAAGAAAGAAUUUAUUAUUUUUACGGCUGGUAAUGCGGUCGUCUAAAAAUCUUAAAAACAACUUUUGGCAACGGAUCUCUUGGUUCUCCCAUCGAUGAAGAACGCAGCGAAUUGCGAUAAGUAAUGUGAAUUGCAGAAGUGAAUCAUCGAAUCUUUGAACGCACCUUGCGCUCCCUGCAGAUCUAAUCUGGGGAGCAUGCCUGUUUGAGGGCCGCGAAUUGUUUCGAGCGCCAGCUUUUUUAAUUAAGAGAUGGUAGCUUGGUAGUGAGGGUUUUGCCAUUUACGGUGGCUCCCUCGAAAUGCAUUAGUGCAUCCAUUUAAUAGGCAAAGACGGACGAAAGCUCGAUUUUUUCGCUCCCCUCUUCCCUGCCGGGUUUUGAUAAUAUCAGGACUUCGGAGGUGAAAGGGGGAGCAAGAGCUGGACGCAACGUCGUUGCUGGUUGGAGUGCUUCUGAACACCACCUUUUUCGAAAGAAAAGUAUCAAUAAAGCGGAGGAAAAGAAACUAACAAGGAUUCCCCUAGUAACGGCGAGUGAAGAGGGAAGAGCCCAAGAUUGAAAGCUGGCGUCUUCGGCGUCCGCAUUGUAAUCUCAAGAAGUGUUUUCCGCUUCGGACCAUGCCUAAGUCCCUUGGAAAAGGGCAUCAUAGAGGGUGAUAAUCCCGUACAUGGCAUGGAGCGCCCGAAGCUUUGUGAUGCGCUUUCUACGAGUCGAGUUGUUUGGGAAUGCAGCUCAAAAUGGGUGGUAAAUGCCAUCUAAGGCUAAAUAUUGGGGAGAGACCGAUAGCGAACAAGUACAGUGAUGGAAAGAUGAAAAGAACUUUGAAAAGAGAGUUAAACAGUACGUGAAAUUGCCAAAAGGGAAGGGUAGGAGGUCAGAGAUGCGUCUUGGGAUUCAGCCUUGCUUUUUCGCUUGGUGUUUUUCCCAAGUUGCAGGCCAACGUCGGUUUUGGGCACUGGAGAAGGGUGGGAGGAAUGUGGCACCUCUCGGGGUGUGUUAUAGCCUCCUGCUGGAUACAGCGACCGAGACCGAGGACAGCAGCGUACUCGCAAGAGCGGGCCUUCGGGCACCUUUACGCUUAGGGCGUUGGCAUAAUGGCCCUCUACCACCCGUCUUGAAACACGGA
RNAcentral lists this ribosomal RNA (1319 nucleotides) under Sporisorium sehimicola. Its description in RNAcentral is "eukaryotic LSU rRNA". The stretch from base 640 to 1319 matches the Rfam family "Eukaryotic large subunit ribosomal RNA", at positions 1 to 665 of the family's 3401-position model. Lineage: Eukaryota; Fungi; Basidiomycota; Ustilaginomycetes; Ustilaginales; Ustilaginaceae. The record is from RNAcentral.